RNAcentral lists this ribosomal RNA (1803 nucleotides) under Triticum aestivum (bread wheat). Its description in RNAcentral is "partial small subunit ribosomal RNA". The record is from RNAcentral. Lineage: Eukaryota; Viridiplantae; Streptophyta; Magnoliopsida; Poales; Poaceae.
AUGUCAGACUGUGCCACGAAUAGAUUCAAUGAGAAAGAAGACUUCCAAGUUGUUUUGGGCAAAGGAAAUCCUGGAGAGUCAUCUUGCCAGCAACUUACCAAGUGGAUGGCACACUGGACCAGAGCAAGUAGCAGUCCAUAUGGCAGGAGCUGUAGUCCUUUGGAGGAUGCCAACAAUAGCACUUGCGCAAAAGAUUCUGAAACUUCACCUUUUGAGCUUAGGAAAUCCACCGUGGCCGAAAGGCUAAUGUCGGGAAGAAACCAUGAAGGAAUUUCAAUGAAGAAUGUGCCGCGACUAGACCCUAACAUGUGGGGUGUGGCGCAUGAUGCUUGGCAAGAAGAUGAACAGACCAAAACUGAAUGGCGAGAUGGGCAUUUUCAAAGCUGUAAGAUCCAGAUGCAGAAAGAUGAAAAUUUCUAUGCCAAGACAGUAGUAUCAAAAACACUUUCCGUUUGCAGGCUUUCAGAUCUACCAUUGGAUUUUCAGAAACUUGUGAGCUCAGACGAGAACCCUGAUUCACAUUGGAACCAGAUUCCUAUGUUGUCAGUCAAUCAGAAAGUUGAAACUAUACUCAGCCCAAAGCGGAAGUAUGCGUCCGGUUCUGUGUUUGAUGAUCUCUUUGUGCCACAACAAAUUCCGAAGCUAAACGUGGGUCCAUCCAACUUGAUGGCAUGCUCACAUCAGGAAUAUGGGCUGCAGUUUCCUCGAAUGACUGACAUGGUCAUGGACCAUUGCAAACCUUCAGGGGGCAUCAAACAUCUCCUAGAAGACCCUACCUGUCUCAUUUCUGAUCAUGCAGGGAAGAAACUAAAAGUUGACAAUAACUCAUCAUCAGAUUGUGGAAUGGAUGAGCAGGGUACAGGUCACUAUUUUGCAAACCCAAAUCAGGAGCCGCUCGGCAGAUGUGACGAAAAGCAGUUCAACCUUUCAGAAAACAGUGACAAAUUUACAGAUUCUGUUAAACAAAACGAUGCCUGUUUAUUUGAAAUGCUGACAAUCCCUUCCAAACCACAAAGUACGUACCCAGUAGAUUCUCUCUCUUCUUGUAGUCCUUUAUUUGGAGCCCAGAAUCAACUCUCAUGUAAAACUAAAACGAUGCAUGGAGAUGCACAGUAUGUGUCAAAAUCCUCAGCAGGCAUGGCUUCAUCGUUGAUGCAAAAGGACAACAUCUGCGCAGAAAAAGCAAAUGAGCAGCUGGCAACUCUAUCUAUAGAAGGAUCACCAAGAUACAACAAAGCAAACAUAUUUCAUAAUGCCAAUGCCAAUCAAUACGUUUCAUCCAAAGCAACCACUUCCAGCAAGCAAGAACCCAGCAGCCCCGGAACAGAAACCAUGGACUUGGAUCCCCUGCCGUUUGAAAGCGGGACAAGAAAUCAAGUCCCCACCGACACAAUCCGAUCGCCAGCGGGUGCCGAUCCAAGCGAAAAAUGGCUCAAGCGCCUGCUCCAUGACACCGCAAACCCUCAUGUUCACCGUUCCAAGAGGCCCAGAACGGGAGACUGCCGUCCGGUCAGAGGAGCAGGUGGAAUGUCCGGCACCGACAUUGUCGACCCUGUUGAGGCAAGGUGUGUUCGCUGCUGGAUAGGGAGGUUGUGCCAGGGUGGCGGCGCCCCUGUUUCGCUUGGAGAACCAGACGAAAGGAGAACAACAGCGAAGCCUGACGUCGCGGCCAGGGAAUUUGGAGGCCAUUUCUCGAGCAUCAAGGCGAUGGCGAUGAUGGGGCGGAUGAUGAGAAAGAUCCGGCCAUUUGAUCGUGAGAGGAAGGGGCCUUGGGUUAUGUGGAAGGCAGAGGACGGAGCCUGA